Phacochoerus africanus (Common warthog) is the source of this 349-nucleotide long non-coding RNA. RefSeq lists it as uncharacterized. The record is from RefSeq and is a predicted model, not a curated record. The transcript is spliced from 3 exons. Lineage: Eukaryota; Metazoa; Chordata; Mammalia; Artiodactyla; Suidae.
UGAACUCUGAUCACACGAUCACAACAGUUCAGCUAGUUUCUCAGAAGUCAGGGGCGGAGCAGAAAACUUGUUUAUUGUUUCACUUCUGUGCUCCAUGUAAUCCCACAUCUCCGACUUCAUUUUGUCCACAUGGACCAGUGAGCAGGCAUUGUAUCUUUUGAAAGAGUCAGCAGGAGAUGGAAGGAAACACAAAUAGAGAACUGGCAGAAGCCAUUGCUGAACUUGAGUCUGUAUACCAGAGAGCUUCUCGUCUAAGAUCUACUGAUGACCUUUUGAAAACAUCACACAACAAUAUGUACAGAUCUUGAAGAAAACUCAUAUUGUCUGAAAAAUAAACAGUAAAACUUUA